AUAAAAAGCAGCUCAGAAAGGCAAAAGCGGAGAGAGGAAGAGGGAGAGAGAGAGAAGGGAGAGCUGGAGAGGAAAGAGGAGCGCAAAAGGGUUUUUGGAAAAUGUAGAUGAGAUUCGAAAUCCGUUUUUCCAAAAGCUCGAUCCAAAGAGCUAAAACAGUGGCUGAGAUUUGAGGCUGAGUUGUUCAUCCACGGAUCACUGUGUGCCGUGGAUGUCGAUGUUCCCAAAGUGUUAGUGGAGCCAUGGAGUGUUUCAGGGGCAUUACUCGUUUAAAAUGUUCUCUGUUUCACCAGCUUUUAUUAUUCACAAUUUGGUUAUCUGGUUUGCAAGAUGUGGUGGCAACAGAGAAGCCACCUCCGCCCAAUUCUGAUACUCCUAACACGUUUGUUCUUUCCGACCCACCUCUUGGACUUUUUGAUCCCAUUGAAAUUUCACCUGCGGUGGUUCCUCGUUAUCCAUAUCCUGGGGAACCAUUGUCACCAAUGUAUCCUUCCUUUCCCAGCACGUAUGAGCCAGUCUUGACUGGAAAAUGCCCAGUAAAUUUUUCCACCAUCUCAAGUAUUAUGGGAAAAACAGCAUCAGAUUGUUCUGCACCUUUAGCGGCACUCGUUGGGAACGUGAUAUGUUGUCCCCAGGUUAGAAGUCUACUUCACAUUUUCCAAGGUGACCACAGCAGCGGCUCAGAUACACUUGUUUUGCAAAAAGCAGCUGCGGAUGAUUGUUUCACAGAUAUCAUUAGGAUAUUAGCCAGUAAAGGGGCAAACAGUACUAUCCCUACACUUUGCUCCAUCAAAUCAUCAAAUCUCACCGGUGGAUCUUGUCCGGUGAAGGAUAUAACUAAAUUUGAGAAAAUAGUAAACACGAGCAAAUUGCUGGACGCCUGCAGCACUGUUGAUCCACUUAAAGAGUGUUGCAGACCUGUUUGUCAGCCUGCAAUUAUUGAGGCCUCAUUUCGUAUCUCAUUAAGAGAAUCAAGUCUUGUGGAGAAUGCUAAUAUAAUUGGGAAGCCUACUGAGAUGGAUGUUUUGAACGACUGCAAAGGGGUGGUGUAUGCAUGGCUUUCUAGGAACCUCCCAUUAGAAGCUGCCAACACUGCAUUCAGGAUACUAUCGAGCUGCAAGGUUAACAAAGAUUGUCCUUUGGAAUUCAAAGAGCCUUUAGCAGUAGUUAAAGCAUGCCGUGAUUUAGAUUCUCCAAAUCCUUCUUGUUGUAGCUCAUUAAAUACUUACAUUGCGGCAAUACAGAAGCAGAUGCUAAUUACAAACAGGCAAGCCAUAAACUGCGCGACGUUGUUUGGAUCCAUGCUUCAGAAGGGUGGUGUUAUGACAAAUGUCUAUGAGCUUUGUGAUGUUGACUUGAAAGACUUCAGCCUUCAGGCAUAUGGACAACAAGGUUGUUUGCUUCGAAGUUUGCCUGCGGAUGUCAUAUUUGACAAUUCUUCAGGCUUUAGCUUUACAUGUGACCUUAGUGACAAUAUUGCUGCACCAUGGCCUUCUUCAUCCUCACUUUCAUCCAUGUCCCUCUGUGCUCCUGAGAUGUCAUUGCCUGCAUUGCCAACAUCUCACAAAUCUGGAAAUCCUGGUGAACGCCGUGGUGGAGUUGGAUAUGUUGUGCCCAUAUUUUCAUUUUGCAUUUUCAGCAUACUGUUUUGAAGAGCAUGCUUUGACGGUCUCGGAUAUGAAGUGAGAAUUUUCCCAUUACAAGCUUCUCCCACCCAUUAUAACAGCUAUUAAAGAGCAUAAAUGGCAACGCUAGUCCAAUCUGGCUUAUGCCUCACCCGGUGUUGAUCAGAUGAUUCAUCUGGGGCCCACUCUAUUGAGCCCAUAUGGUAGAAUUCUCCCUGAUCAGAGAUCCUCACCGUACGUAGGAAGGUGAGCUAGUAGCUGCUUUCUUAGACCAUUGUUCGUAACUUAUUUUAAUGCAUGGUUAGAUCUCUAAUGAGUGAUAAAACUUUUCUUGUCCCAUAAAAUGAAUGGCCUAGAUCAUCAUGUGAUGGGGCAGAAGUGGUGAACAGAUAGGGCGAAGCCCUAUGCUUGCUUGCUUCUCUCAUUUAUUAAAACUAUCUCGACACCAGCCACUUAACAAUUCCUAGCAUCUGGAAAUAUGUUACCCAAAUACAUUCAGUCAGAGAAGAUUAUGGCCAUCCCUCUACCAUUGGCCGGAGGUGUGGCCCACCUUAAGAGGUUCUAUUUUCGUAAAGUGCCCCCACACGGUUGUCAUAUGUGCUACUGCCCAACUUCUAAGUACCCCUGGCAUGCAAACAGCUAUCUUCAAGUUCCCUACAUAUGCAGCAUAUGCCUCCAUCAUAAAGCAGCAUCACACGUUCCAUCACCCAUCUUUUAGGGUAGUCAUAUUUUAAUGUGCGACGCAACCUAAUGUGCCGUGUGCAAUGUGCAAUUGAGUCAUAUGUGCCACAUGGCCACUGAUCUCGAAGAACCUCAUGUGCGGCAUGCCCCAAUGUGUGGGAUAUGUAACAUGCGCUGCCAACUCCUUCAAUUGCCUCACAUUUAGGGGCAUGUAUGUGCCCCCACAUGUUCCACAGUCCAUCUUAAAGCAUCGUGCAGGUGCCAAUGUACUACAUGUGCGACAUGUAUAAUCACCCAUUAUAAUGUACCAUACACCCCCAACGCGCCAUUGUUGCAACACCGGCUACCACAUCUUCUAGCACCCCACGUUUGCAGAUGUGCCACAUGAGCAGUCAUUUGACUUCAAGCGCUCCACUUGUGCCACGUCUCAACAUGCCACAUUGUGGAACAUUGUGAUCAACUAUCUUCAAGCAUUCCACAGAUUGAUUCUGGAUCGUAGACUCACAUCAUGUAUCUCAUGGAGUGGUACCUCAGGAGCCAGAGACCCAGUGAUAUGGAGCGCUACGUUAUCAAUGGGUGGCUUUCAAGUAGGAGAAUCGAUUCGAAUGAUUUUGUAUUUCUUUUAAAUAUAUAUAAUAGGAUGCAUUUGAAUUUUUGAAACCCUUCCAUUUAUUUUAUGGUGAUUUGAAAUAAAAUAAUUCAUUUGGAUUUCUUCUAAAUUUAAUGUUAGAUUGAGGGCCUCGAUACUCUAAUCGUGUAUGUCAUAUGGACGUGAAUGAUGGCAACCUCAUUUACAGACAACAAUAAAAGUGAUGAUCAUAAAUAGGUUUGAUUCCUA
Magnolia sinica is the source of this 3144-nucleotide RNA transcript. RefSeq lists it as uncharacterized. The record is from RefSeq and is a predicted model, not a curated record. The transcript is spliced from 10 exons. NCBI's taxonomy places the organism in Eukaryota, Viridiplantae, Streptophyta, Magnoliopsida, Magnoliales, Magnoliaceae.